Molecule: long non-coding RNA, 670 nt
Organism: Erinaceus europaeus (western European hedgehog)
Lineage: Eukaryota; Metazoa; Chordata; Mammalia; Eulipotyphla; Erinaceidae
Exons: 2
Source: RefSeq, a predicted model, not a curated record
CUUAAGCAUUUAUCCAAAGGAUACUGAAACACUAAUUCAAAGAGACAUAUGCAUCUGUAUGUUCAUAGUCCCAUUAUCUACAAUAACCAGAGUGGAGGCAGCCUAAAUGCCCAUCAACAGGUGACUGGUGAAAGAAGUUAUGUGAUAUAUGCUCCAUGAAAUACUACUCUGAAAUAAAAAAAGAUGAUACUGUGCCCUUUUGGACAAAAUGGAUGAAACUGAAGGAAUCGAACCCAGGGCCUCAGGCAUGGAAGGCAUGUGCUCUACCUGGUGAAUCACCUGCUGAACCUCAAAAUAACUGCUUAAAAUGUUACUUUCAGCUUUCCAGAUGUUUUGUCCAUCUUUUAUGGGGAUGAGGAAGCUACACAGUGCCUAAAGGCCAGUGACCCUGCGGAGCAUGACCGCACAUCUCUGUUACCUCACAGGUAGCUUAGCACAGUAGCCUGACACUGGGCCCUGGCGUCAGCCAGCUCACUUUAACUCCUGCCUUCACCUUUGAUCCCUUCAUCCUGGACAAGUUGUGUUGCUUCACUGUGCCUCAGUUGUUUCCCUUGUAAGGUGGGGGCAAAAGUUGUGCCAUCUGUUUAAGGUUGUUUUGAAGAUGAAGUGAGUUAAUAAAUGUAAAGCACAUGAGAACACACACUAAACACUCAAUAAAGAGUUUUAUUAA